RNAcentral lists this ribosomal RNA (451 nucleotides) under uncultured bacterium. RNAcentral's name for it is "partial 16S ribosomal RNA". It matches the Rfam family "Bacterial small subunit ribosomal RNA", at positions 354 to 796 of the family's 1533-position model. The record is from RNAcentral.
GUGGGGAAUCUUCCGCAAUGGGCGAAAGCCUGACGGAGCAACGCCGCGUGAGUGAAGAAGGCCUUCGGGUCGUAAAGCUCUGUCUUUAGGGACGAACAACAGUAGUGUAAAUAAUGCUAUUGUCUGACGGUACCUAAGGAGGAAGCUCCGGCUAACUACGUGCCAGCAGCCGUGGUAAUACGUAGGGAGCGAGCGUUGUCCGGAAUUACUGGGCGUAAAGGGCGCGUAGGCGGGAACUCAAGUCAGGUGUGAAAACUAUGGGCUUAACCCAUAGACUGCACUUGAAACUGGGUUUCUUGAGGGCAGGAGAGGAAAGUGGAAUUCCUAGUGUAGCGGUGAAAUGCGUAGAUAUUAGGAGGAACACCAGUGGCGAAGGCGACUUUCUGGACUGUACCUGACGCUGAGGCGCGAAAGCGUGGGGAGCGAACAGGAUUAGAUACCCCUGUAGUCC